Molecule: long non-coding RNA, 305 nt
Filed under: Mytilus galloprovincialis (Mediterranean mussel)
Lineage: Eukaryota; Metazoa; Mollusca; Bivalvia; Mytilida; Mytilidae
Source: RNAcentral
GUACAUAAAUCAAAACAUUUUUAAGCACAAUUUUGUUUAAACAUUUUCUCAUUGUUAAAGGACUUGUCUGUGAACUUGUAUAUGAUGAACAGCAAUCAAAUAAAAGGGUUUCUUUGUUGUAGACCAAGUAAAUUUGACAUUUUCCCUCUCUUAUUCUUCAAUUUUUCCUGCUUCUUAAUAACAGGGACAUUAGAAAGAACCAAUCGAGCAUAUCUUUAGUUUGGCUGCAUCAUUUUUCCAUGUGGACUGCUUCCCAAAAAUGAAACCAGAUAAUCUCCAGAAAACUUCAGCAUGACAUCUCAAAG